CCCACCACAUCAAAGCCAAUUGGUGUUGAGUUGUGUGGCCUAUAUGAGGGCAAUCACAGCCAGAAGAAGCAUCAGUAUUGGCAAGACUGUUGUGCGGUGUAGAUCGGUGUUGUUUGUGUUCAGAAACGUUAUUUGAGGUUAAUAUUAUUGGAUGUGAAGGAAAUGUGAACUGGACUGAAGCGCUCAAGAUCAUAUCCGAUGCUUACGACUGAUAAUUACUUUGGAUUUUCGGAUUAUACUACCAGAGAAAUAGUAGCCCGCCUAAUGGUGUUCCAUGUUUUUUAUUACGAAAAUUCUGCAACCAGACGUUACAUAGACGUUCUUUGGGUGUACUAAAUGUGACAGUUAAGUUCCCGGAAUAACCGAAUAUAUGUUUCAUCGAAUAGCCAGUGACCAAUAACUAAGCAACGACGUGUCACGACGUGUCUGCUACUUGUGAGGUGAUCAAGCGAGUAAAACAGAUGUAGCGGAGUUACACAAACGCGUGUUUUCGUCCCGAGUAAUAAGUCGUUGGGGAAACGCAUUAACACCAAGGUUUGGGCAAAACUUAGGCAAAAGCGCGAGUGAAACUCUACAAAUGUCAACAGAGGCUUACGGUGCUUAUGUUAUGAAAAAGUCGAGUGUCAUAUAAGGUUAAAGAGUGCACUCUCGUCACGAGCAAACGUGAAGAAAAUUCUGAUUUGUUUCUUUCAUCACAAGGGCAUUGUUCACUUUGAGUCUGUUGAACAAGGUCGAACAGUGAACCAGCAUUGUUAUUUGAAAAUAUUGGCAAGGUUAGAUGAGGCUGUUCGUCAGAGAAGACCUGAACUUUGGCCUGAUGUUUGGUUGACGCGCUCGCUGUCCGGAAGUUUCUGACCAAACAACUGAUAUUGAAAAGGAACCAUCCUCGAUAUUUACUAAAACUGAAGACCUCUUUUGAAGGGCCACAGAAUUUCAGACAUUGCUGACAUUAGAAUACCAUCCUGAAGAGGAGUUCCAGAAAUGUUUUGAGCAGUGGAAAUACCGAUUCACUACUAGGAGACUACUUCGAAGGUGACGGCAACCAUUAGCAUAUGCACGGGCAGUUACAGCAUGAAGCAUAUUCAAGCAGGACGUACUUCAUUUGUCUCAUUGUUGUGCAACGCGACAUCAUGUGGGGGCUUUGCUAAGCGACAGGAAGAGAGGAAUAAGUGUGUUAUUUAAAAGGGGGAACGAUUAUCAUCAUAUCAAGAUUGACAGGAAAUAUAACCCCUUUGUUAAAUUAAGUAAUCUUUUAGUAUGGGACGUGUCUGGAUGAAUUGAUAUUUAAAGUGUAUUGUGUAUGAGCAGUAAUCAUUUCGACCCUUUGUGGUGAUUGUAACUUAUUUAAAUCUUGCCUAUUUCAUUAUUUGUCAAUUAAGGUGAAAAGGCCCGUAUUAAA
Molecule: non-coding RNA, 1399 nt
Organism: Zootermopsis nevadensis
Lineage: Eukaryota; Metazoa; Arthropoda; Insecta; Blattodea; Termopsidae
Source: RefSeq, a predicted model, not a curated record